Long non-coding RNA from Prosopis cineraria, 1183 nucleotides. RefSeq lists it as uncharacterized. The transcript is spliced from 3 exons. NCBI's taxonomy places the organism in Eukaryota, Viridiplantae, Streptophyta, Magnoliopsida, Fabales, Fabaceae. The record is from RefSeq and is a predicted model, not a curated record.
GUUUCAGAAAAAAUUCUCGAGCUCUUCCUCUAAGCAUCUGAUACAAAAACAAGGCCAGGUCAGAUCCAAGAUUCAGUCUGUUAUAACCUCUGGGUUUGUAAUUUUAAUUUGAAAUUUUUAGUUACUGUCUUGUCAUGAUAUUUGAUUUGGGUUACAAUUUGCAGUUUCCCUCACCUGUUGAUCCUUGAUGGGACAUUCUCUGAGGACAUAAUCUCCAAUGGGUUUUUAAUGGCUGCUUGAUCUUACUGCAAUAAUGGAAGCCUUUUCAAGGACUUCGUGAUAUCUCUUUCCAAUUCAGCUUCUCCACUCACUUUUGGUUCAGAUGAUGCGUUCACACUUAAUUCAGCACCCACUGGACAGACUUGGUGCUUGCGCGUACAAGAUGAAGACAAGUGAAUUUCUCUCUACUUGGACAGAUGUCCGUUGUUGAAAGCAUAAAUUGCCUCUCUCGAUGGAUGGUUCAGAUGCCUCUGAACGACAGAGUUAAGCAAGUUUUUAAUCUUCAAGUACAAUCAUCCGAUCAACCAUCUUCUUCUAACACGAGAGAGUUGUCUUCCUCAGGGCAGAAUCAAUUUAAGAUAUUAACAGCUUCUGUUUCAUUUUCUCCACGUCUACAAUUUGAUGACGUCAUUCCCGUCAUCAGCACAAGGCACCCAAAUUUCAACAACCACACAUCAUAUAGCUUCCGUCUCCUGCCUCAGUUCUUCCUGAUCACCAUGCAUUUCCAGAAUUGGGUUUUGCAGCUGGUACUAGCAUGUCUCCUAUUGUACAGACUUUCACCCACGCAUGCAAACGGAAAUUGGCUGUGUUUUUGGCUAGCAAAACAGAUCAGAAGGAUGUUGGUUUUUGCGGAGUUUUAUCGAAAAACUCUGCACAGUAGAUGAAACGAUGGAGGGCCUUCACGGACAGCAACAUGGUAAAGGCCCAGAACAAGGAGCUGCUCUUUUGGAUUACUGUCUUUUCAGUCUGGCUUUAUAUGUUGUCUCAAGUUUUCUACUUCGCCUUUUGGUUGUGUAAGUGUCUCUGCUGUUGCAUGUUUUCUGGAAUAUCAUUGGCAAGAUUUUCAUCAGCCCAUGUUUUUGGCCUGGGUCUUUCAACUCCUACCGGAGAUUUUCAAAGCUCUUGUUCUCCAAUAUGCAUGGAGAUCAAGCAUUCUCAUGGUUCGUACAACACUGUCAACUAG